This 263-nucleotide long non-coding RNA is filed under the name Homo sapiens (human). RNAcentral's name for it is "HSALNT0407240". Lineage: Eukaryota; Metazoa; Chordata; Mammalia; Primates; Hominidae. The record is from RNAcentral.
UUUAGUGGCACUCCUCCAUCUCUCUGGGAGAUCCAACACUUGAGGGCUUAUGAGCCGUUUCAGUAUGAAUGAAAGGGAGAAGAACAGAACAGAGGCUAUAAAGCAUGGCUUCAGCAUCUGCUUCUGCUGAGAGCCUCAGAAAGCUUCCGGCUAUGGCAGAAAGUGAAGGUCAGCAAGCAUCACAUGAAUUACAAAUCUAGUUUAGCCCAGGACCAGAUGGAUUCACAGCCGAAUUCUACCACAAAUUCAAAGAAGAGCUGGUA